AGUGAACGCUGGCGGCAGGCCUAACACAUGCAAGUCGAACGGCAGCACAAGAGAGCUUGCUCUCUGGGUGGCGAGUGGCGGACGGGUGAGGAAUGCAUCGGAAUCUGCCCAUUUGUGGGGGAUAACCUCGGGAAACCGGGACUAAUACCGCAUACAACCUACGGGUGAAAGCAGGGGAUCUUCGGACCUUGCGCAGAUGGAUGAGCCGAUGCCGGAUUAGCUAGUUGGAGGGGUAAAGGCCCACCAAGGCGACGAUCCGUAGCUGGUCUGAGAGGAUGAUCAGCCACACUGGGACUGAGACACGGCCCAGACUCCUACGGGAGGCAGCAGUGGGGAAUAUUGGACAAAGGGCGCAAGCCUGAUCCAGCCAUGCCGCGUGUGUGAAGAAGGCCUUCGGGUUGUAAAGCACUUUUGUUGGGAAAGAAAAGCAGCCGGUUAAUACCCGGUUGUCAUGACGGUACCCAAAGAAUAAGCACCGGCUAACUUCGUG
RNAcentral lists this ribosomal RNA (490 nucleotides) under uncultured bacterium. Its description in RNAcentral is "partial 16S ribosomal RNA". It matches the Rfam family "Bacterial small subunit ribosomal RNA", at positions 29 to 507 of the family's 1533-position model. The record is from RNAcentral.